GCUGUGGCUUCCAGGUGAAGGGGAUGGUCAGAUCCGCUGGCGUGGGGGACAAGGCCCACAUGGCCAACUCUCUUUGAUCCAUGAGAUGGGAGACUUCAUGCUUAAACAAAAAAUUGUUUCAGUUCACAGAGAAGCUGAGACAACAUCACACUGUCAUUUUUGUUUUAAUCACAUUUUGAAUUUACAAGCUCAAUUUAAGAAGAGAGCUAUGAUAGGAUGUUGGGACCAUGAUGAGAGACUCAAUGAGUGCCUGAAGAGUUGGACUCAGAAUUUACCUGUUCAUCUGAAGAGCCUGCCUUCUUUGAGCUUCACUGGCAGAGCGACAAGAUGAGAGCACUCCCACUUCUUAUCACCUUCUUUAUCAGCAACGCUGAUGCCUACACAAGGGUAUUCUGGGCUGCGCAGAUUGGGGAGCCGGUGAUGUAGUUAUGUUUCCUGGAAAUACAGGUAGCAACUUCCUGUGGCUUCCUCUGUUUUUGAUGUAAAGAUGAGCAUAUGUAACACUAAACACAUCAAGGAUCAGAACUUCAGUCAGUGGUAGUGUAAAUGCUGAAAAAUACUGUCAUUUCCUCAUAAACAUAUGCAGAAGCACAAAGUAUAGGCCGUCUAUGCAGAGCUGGUUCCCCAGUGAGAGCUCAUACAAUAAACUGGGGCAGUGACAACAGCUUAAACUGACUUUCCAUGCCUGAGCAUGCGUCUGUGUCUUGCUGCUUGAAUCACUGAACAUUUCCAUGCACUUACUUGCUUACACAAGUGAUCAAGAACCAAAAUUUCCCUAAAGGUCAAUGUUUUGCAUAAAAAUUAGUCUAAAAAAGGUCUGGUCUGUUUACAAGGUCUUCAGUCAAGAUUUCUCCAGAAUUUGGGGCCAGGUCAGUAAAAGGUCACCCCCUGAAGUGGAAAGCAGUAAAAUUUUCAAAUGAACUAAACUGUUUACACAACCGUCCUAAAAGAUAGUUUAGAAUUAAAUAAAGUAAAGCAUACUUCGGUUGGGAAGGUGGUCACAGUGUUCCUGAGAACUACAAUAAACAAAGAAAAUAAUAUCUUGGCCAUUGAUACCAUAACCUGAUGAAGAAAAGUUGGCAGAAACAGGAUGUACAAUCUGCACAGGGUUUAUACAAAUCAGAGUGCACCGAAAUGGUUUGGGACACAGGAACACUAGUGUUGAAUCCCACCUUUGCCGCUCACUAGCUGAAUGGCAAGUUACUCUGCCUCUGGAAACUUCCACUUCCUCACAGGAUUUGUGUUUGUCUAUCACUGACUCCCUUCCCUUUGUGAAAAACUGCCCUUCCCGGCCACCAUCACAAGCAGCCUCUUGGCCCAAAGACAGUUGUUACAGGACACAGUUCAAUCUUUUUUGCUUACUCUGUUGCUUGUAACCAAAAAAGUCUUGGUUAAACACUUUGUUUGCAAAAGUUGCUGUGACAAUUUAAUGAAGUCACAUAACAAAAACACAGAAAUGCUGGUUAAAUUCCUCGAGAGUAGGUUAGUAUGUGACUAAUAGCUUAGUGCUUGAGUCCAGCUGGAUGAGCUCUCUUGAGGGGAGCUGAGAUUUGAACCCUAUAUUUCAAUUCUCAGCUUCUUAGGUUGUAAAAACAGGGCCAAUAACCAUCACUGGGUUGUGAAGACUGAGUGGAAAUAAAGCACUCAGCACAGUACCUGCCACACACUGGACAUUCUUACGACUCCAAAGGUAGAACUGCUCAAUGCUGUUAAGGACUAACAUUUGUGGAUCUAAAGAGAACGUAACAACCAAGAGGAUGUGGCCUGAGCUAAUGACACACAUCAGUUGUGGUGCCUGAUCUCAACUCUUUCUCCUCUUUCUCAUUUUGGAGGGAUACAGAACAUAUGAGUUAUGAAUUAAUUUCUCACAAAUUCAAUUAUGUCAAUUCUUG
Sciurus carolinensis (gray squirrel) is the source of this 1892-nucleotide long non-coding RNA. RefSeq lists it as uncharacterized. The transcript has 3 exons. The record is from RefSeq and is a predicted model, not a curated record. Lineage: Eukaryota; Metazoa; Chordata; Mammalia; Rodentia; Sciuridae.